GGAGUCUGGGCCGUGUCUCAGUCCCAAUGUGGCCGAUCACUCUCUCAAGUCGGCUACUGAUCGUUGCUUUGGUAGGCCGUUACCCUGCCAACUGGCUAAUCAGACGCAUCCCCAUCCCUUACCGACGAAUCUUUGCUCCUCGUCAGAUGCCUGCUAAGGAGAACAUAGAGUAUUAAUCCGACUUUCGCCGGGCUAUCCUCUAGUAAGGGGAAGGUUGGAUACGCGUUACUCACCCGUGCGCCGGUCGCCAUCAAAGGAAGCAAGCUUCCUUCAUGCUCGCCCCACGACUUGCAUGUGUUAAGCCUGUAGCUAGCGUUCAUC
RNAcentral lists this ribosomal RNA (321 nucleotides) under uncultured Prevotella sp. RNAcentral's name for it is "partial 16S ribosomal RNA". The record is from RNAcentral. Lineage: Bacteria; Pseudomonadati; Bacteroidota; Bacteroidia; Bacteroidales; Prevotellaceae.